UCCAUUGUCGAAAGGGAAACAGCCCAGACCAUCAGCUAAGGUCCCCAAGUGUGUGUUAAGUGGGAAAGGAUGUGGAGUUGCACAGACAACCAGGAUGUUGGCUUAGAAGCAGCCACCAUUGAAAGAGUGCGUAAUAGCUCACUGGUCGAGUGACUCUGCGCCGAAAAUGUAACGGGGCUAAACACACCACCGAAGCUAUGGCUUGAUGCUUUGCAUCAGGGGUAGGGGAGCGUUGAAUGCGGGUUGAAGGUGUACCGGAAGGAGCGCUGGACUGCAUUCAAGUGAGAAUGCCGGUAUGAGUAACGAAAAGAUCUGUGAGAAUCAGAUCCGCCGAAAGCCUAAGGGUUCCUGAGGAAGGUUCGUCCGCUCAGGGUAAGUCGGGACCUAAGGCGAGGCCGAUAGGCGUAGUCGAAGGACAACAGGUCGAAAUUCCUGUACCACCGUAAUCCGCUAUGAGCGAUGGGGUGACGCAGUAGGGUAGUGACGCGGACUGAUGGAUGUCCGUCUAAGCAGUGAGGCUGAUGUGUAGGCAAAUCCGCACAUCGUAAGGCUGGGCUGUGAUGGGGAGCGAAAAUUAUAGUAGCGAAGGUCAUGAUCUCAGACUGCCAAGAAAAGCCUCUAGCCAGGAGAAGGUGCCCGUACCGCAAACCGACACAGGUAGGCGAGAAGAGAAUUCUAAGGCGCGCGGAAGAACUCUCGUUAAGGAACUCGGCAAAAUGACCCCGUAACUUCGGGAGAAGGGGUGCCUCGGUAGGGUGAAUAGCCUGAGGGGGCCGCAGUGAAAAGGCCCAAGCGACUGUUUAGCAAAAACACAGGUCUGUGCGAAGCCGCAAGGCGAAGUAUACGGGCUGACGCCUGCCCGGUGCUGGAAGGUUAAGGGGAGUGGUAAGCCUUUGGGCGAAGCUAUGAACCGAAGCCCCAGUAAACGGCGGCCGGUCCUAAGGUAGCGAAAUUCCUUGUCAGGUAAAUUCUGACCCGCACGAAUGGCGUAACGACUUGGGCGCUGUCUCAACGAGAGAUCCGGUGAAAUUUUAAUACCUGUGAAGAUGCAGGUUACCCGCGACAAGACGGAAAGACCCCAUGGAGCUUUACUGCAGCUUGAUAUUGAAUUUGGGUACGAUCUGUACAGGAUAGGUGGGAGCCGUUGAACCUUGAGCGCCAGCUUGAGGGGAGGCAUCCUUGGGAUACCACCCUGAUCGUAUCUAGGUUCUAACUUGGUACCGUAAUCCGGUACGAGGACAGUGUCAGGUGGGCAGUUUGACUGGGGCGGUCGCCUCCUAAAGAGUAACGGAGGCGCCCCAAGGUUCCCUCAGAAUGGUUGGAAAUCAUUCGAAGAGUGCAAAGGCAGAAGGGAGCUUGACUGCGAGACCUACAAGUCGAGCAGGGACGAAAGUCGGGCUUAGUGAUCCGGUGGUACCGCAUGGAAGGGCCAUCGCUCAACGGAUAAAAGCUA
This 1453-nucleotide ribosomal RNA is filed under the name Paenibacillus polymyxa. RNAcentral's name for it is "partial 23S ribosomal RNA". It matches the Rfam family "Bacterial large subunit ribosomal RNA", at positions 1004 to 2465 of the family's 2925-position model. The record is from RNAcentral. Lineage: Bacteria; Bacillati; Bacillota; Bacilli; Caryophanales; Paenibacillaceae.